This 253-nucleotide ribosomal RNA is filed under the name uncultured bacterium. RNAcentral's name for it is "partial 16S ribosomal RNA". It matches the Rfam family "Bacterial small subunit ribosomal RNA", at positions 524 to 776 of the family's 1533-position model. The record is from RNAcentral.
UACGGGGGGGGUAAGCGUUGUUCGGAAUUACUGGGCGUAAAGGGCUCGUAGGCGGCCAACUAAGUCAUACGUGAAAUCCCUCAGCUUAACUGGGGAACUGCGUGUGAUACUGGAUGGCUUGGAUUUGGGAGAGGGAUGCGGAAUUCCAGGUGUAGCGGUGAAAUGCGUAGAUAUCUGGAGGAACACCGGUGGCGAAGGCGGCAUCCUGGACCGGCAUUGACGCUGAGGCGCGAAAGCUAGGGUAGCAAACGGG